ACAAUUGCCAUGAUGAUGGUACCCCCGCUCAGCACUGGUGUUCACCCAGCAGAAAGCGGAGAUAUCCUCGGCUUUUCCUGCAGAGAGGAGCCAGUGAUGUGUUCCCCUCCCCGCUCCUCUCCCUGGCCAGCAGCACCCUGGGCUGCCCAUCCCCUGCUCCCCCCUUCCUUCAAGAAUCAUUAAUUAUCAUAAGGGAGAACAUUUCCUUUAACUGCACAAUGUCAAACGACUCUUCAAUUUCAGUGCUCAUCUGUUUUCAUCAAUCCAGGGCCCAGCUGCCGUGCUGCUCUGUGAUGAGACCGACUGGUGCUAUCCCACUUGUGAUCAUGCUCUGACUGGGAAAUGCUCAGACAAUCCAGCUGCCAGCAGGAAAUAAUAUCUUAUAAGUCAUGGAAAAGCCAGGAAAAAAAA
Molecule: long non-coding RNA, 411 nt
Organism: Cyanistes caeruleus (blue tit)
Lineage: Eukaryota; Metazoa; Chordata; Aves; Passeriformes; Paridae
Source: RefSeq, a predicted model, not a curated record